GUCUUACACUGACUGAACACACACACAAGUCCAGCAUCCUGAAGGAUACUUCUCCAUAAACACUGCACUGGAUAAUAGCCUACUACAUUUCCUCUCAUCACAGGUGAUAUUUUCAACAUGAUUUUAAAAUAUUAAUGCGUGUUUAGGGCAAAAAAAUAAUUUAACUAUACUCUACUGAGGAACUUUGUCAUUACACAUUUCGAUUAUGGAUUUGAUCACUGAUUAUUUGAACUUUUAAUGAAAUACUUGAAUUGCUGUUGUGUCACUCCAAAGAAGAGAUUAAAUGAGUAAACGCAUGAAGACAGGAGAGAGAGAUGGAAACACACACCAGUGGGAAUGUAAACCUCGUCAGACGGAGGAGCUUGGAUGAUUUAAGACCGAACUUCUCUACUGUAAAGUGUCCUCCUGAUGGAUCUCAGAAGACCAAAUAUCAGCCGCUAAAGUCUCUGGACUCUGGAUCUCCUGACUCCAUCUCUACUCAUGAUGUCAAAGGAUGAUAAACAGAGACUCUUCCUCUGCUUCUCCGUUCUUUACACGUUUACUGCACCUUCAUCGCCUCAUUUUGCUGCUACAUGUUGUUGUUGUUGUUGUAUUAUAGUUUUGUUCUAAAUCUAAAGUGUUAUUUAAAAUCAUAUUUUGCAUCACAUGCAUAUGUUACUUACAUUCUUGUUAUAAAAAGCAAUCUGUCUUUUUGAAAUCUGUGUUAAAAAAAAAUGUGCACAUGCACAUGAUACACACUUUAUUGUGUGUAAUGCACACACACCCCACACUACUGAACCUACACAUGUGACAUGACUCUACAAAUUCUACAAACUCUAUAGAUCGCGUGAUAAACACAAUGUGUGCUAUAGAACCGUGAGCACAGGGUUGUUACACACACAUCAUAGACCCUCAGUUACACUUCUAAAGUUUCUCAGAAGCAGAAGUCGUCAUAGUUGGGUAAACUUCUCUCUAUAUAUUUUUGAGUUCCAAUUUGCUCAACUCCACAACUUUCUGAAAAGUGUUUUCACAAAUUUCAGAAUUAGAAAAAAGAAGAAGAUGAGAGAAUUGAUAAAGCCAGUCGGAGGAAAGAAAUACCCUCUCAACGUUAACUAGUUUCUGCUAAUUUCAUGCCAAAUGUAAUAUAAUUCAAAUAGUUUUAUACACACAUGUUUAGAAAAUGAAAGGGAUUUACGAUGCUGAUGACCGUUAAACUGCUAAAAUGUUCUGUUUCCACACAGUUGCAUUAAAAAUGCAGUUAUUGAAAUAAAA
Molecule: non-coding RNA, 1251 nt
Organism: Pimephales promelas (fathead minnow)
Lineage: Eukaryota; Metazoa; Chordata; Actinopteri; Cypriniformes; Leuciscidae
Source: RefSeq, a predicted model, not a curated record